Molecule: small nuclear RNA, 103 nt
Filed under: Prolemur simus (greater bamboo lemur)
Lineage: Eukaryota; Metazoa; Chordata; Mammalia; Primates; Lemuridae
Source: RNAcentral
GUGCUCGCUUCGGCAGCACAUAUGCUAAAAUUGGAAUGCUACAGAGAAGAUUAGCGCGGCCCCUGUAAUAAAAAUAAAAUUUAAAUAAAUAAAACACAUUGGG